Molecule: ribosomal RNA, 422 nt
Filed under: uncultured bacterium
Lineage: Bacteria
Description: bacterial SSU rRNA
Rfam family: Bacterial small subunit ribosomal RNA
Source: RNAcentral
UGAGGAAUAUUGGACAAUGGGCGCAAGCCUGAUCCAGCCAUGCCGCGUGCAGGAAGAAGCAUCUAUGGUGUGUAAACUGCUUUUGUACGGGAAGAAACACUCCCUCGUGAAGGAGCUUGACGGUACCGUAAGAAUAAGGAUCGGCUAACUCCGUGCCAGCAGCCGCGGUAAUACGGAGGAUCCAAGCGUUAUACGGAAUCAUUGGGUUUAAAGGGUCGGUUGGCGGUUUAGUAAGUCAGUGGUGUAAGCCCAUCGCUCAACGAUGGAACGGCCAUUGAUACUGCUAGACAUGAAAUAUUAGGAAGUAUAUAGAAUAUGUAGUGUAGCGGUGAAAUGCUUAGAUAUUACAUGGGAUACCAAUUGCGAAGGCAGGUUACUACUAAUGGAUUGACGCUGAUGGACGAAAGCGUGGGGAGCGAACA